CGGGACAGGUUCAUCAAGUAAGCAAGAAAUCCCGUCCGCUCUCCCAUAGUUAAGCUGGUAAGGGGCAGAUUAGUAGUUGGGUCGGUGACGACCAGCGAACACCGGCUGUUGUAUGUU
This 117-nucleotide ribosomal RNA is filed under the name Purpureocillium takamizusanense. The record is from RNAcentral. Lineage: Eukaryota; Fungi; Ascomycota; Sordariomycetes; Hypocreales; Ophiocordycipitaceae.